Molecule: long non-coding RNA, 2936 nt
Organism: Meriones unguiculatus (Mongolian gerbil)
Lineage: Eukaryota; Metazoa; Chordata; Mammalia; Rodentia; Muridae
Exons: 3
Source: RefSeq, a predicted model, not a curated record
AGCCCUGGAAGUGCGCGGUUGCUAGUGAUCCAACGUGGACCCAAUGCUCCCAGUAUUAGCCGUGCUGGAGGAAACAAACCUGGAUCCGAUCAACCCGGAUGUUAACGGCAAUUGACCCACUACCAACACUACCGUCCGGUGGCCCGGCCGCCUGCUUUUGAGGAAUUCGAGAGAGCUAAGAAUGGUUUUUACAGUUUGAAGCGGGGUGAGGCGGGAGGAUCAAGACAGAAUUUCAUGAUAGAUGAAAAUUAUAUGAAGUUAAAAUUUUAGUGUCACAAAGUUUUGGUAGAGUACAGCCACAUUCUUUCCUUUCUAUUGUCUGGCUGCUUUCAUAUUAGAAGAAGAAACCUGUUCCUCCCCAAAUACGAUAUAUUUAACCAGCUGGCUCUUUGGGCAAAGUGUUUGCUAUACACUUGUUCUAAACUAACUAAUGUUUAAGUUAUAGGUUCUCAUUAACAGAAGAAAAUGGUAAGUCCACGUUUGCUUAUUGGAGAGUAUCUCACUUAGCCUUAGCCUCCCAAGUACAGAAAUUUUGGCCAUGUACCACCAAGCUACCUUUAACAAGUUUCCUUUCAUUUAUUUAUUUUGAGACUGGAUCUUUGUAUGUAGCCCUGGCUCUCCUGGAGCUUUCUAUGUAGGACAGACUGGCCUUGAGUUCACAGAGAUCUGCCUGCCUCUGUGCUGGGACUAAAGACACAAAGCUUUACUCUGUUGUUGAAGGGCUCUGGCAGGGCCGAGCAUAGCAAACAUGGCUUGCCCUUUCCCUAUUUCCUCUUUCUUGCUAAUAACGUUAGAUUAUAUUCUUAAUUGUAGCCACCAAGCUCUGUUCCCUUAUUUGGCCACUUCCUCCUGAGGCUAAUCACCAAGCUCCAGCUAUCAAAAUAAUGAAAUUCAGCAAUCAAAGCCCCCUUUUGGCUGCCCUAAUUAAAAUACCCAGCCCCCACCCCCAAAACCCAUCCAAAACACACCACCAAACCCUAGACCGUUCUAGUACCAACCGGCCUCCUCUUAAAAAUCACACCCACAGGGGCUGGAGAGAUGGCUCAGAGGUUAAGAGCAUUGGCUGCUCUUCCAGAGGUCAUGAGUUCAAUUCCCAGCAACCACAUGGUGCUCAUAAGCCAUCUGGUUUAUGAAAUCUGGUGCCCUCUUCUGGUGUGCAGGUGUACAUGCAAACACAUAUUGUAUACAUAAUAAAUAAAUAAAUCUUAAAAAAAAUCACACCUGCAAAGUCAUUUGCUCCUGUUUUCUGCCACUUCUCCAGAAGUGAAAUCAGAAAUCAGCCACUUCUCCACAUAAUAAAAGAUUUCUCUUUGCUAAGCAAAUGUUCUACCACUGAUCCAUAUCCUUACUUAUUUUAGAUAGAGCAUUUGGACUUUCCUGAGGUGACUUUUAAAAACUUUACUAAUCAAAUGUGUGUGCACACACGUGUAUGCAUGUGUGCCUAGAGCAGCACACACAUACACGUGCGAGCCAGUGGACAAUUUGAUGGAGUUGGUUUUCUCAUCCCACCUGCUCAGCUUUCCAGGCUUGCAAGGCGAGUGUCUUGACCAGCUGAGCCAUCUCACUGCCCCUUGGGGAGACUUUUAAGGUGAAACUUGAACUGAGAGGCAGGAGCACAGUGAGGCAGAAAUGGAGCACAUGAAGUCAGACAGGAAAGGGGAGAAGUGGCCACGCCACACCAGGGCCUGCAAGCUUUGUGGAAACUUGGAGGCUUUGAGAAGCAACCGUGGGAUUAUAACCAGGAAGUUACAUGGUCACAGUUACAUUACUCUUACUCUGUUUUUAACUUUUGCGAUUAUAUUUUAAUUACAACCUUUCUGUCUUCCCUUUCCCUCCCAUAAGCCCCUUCCCACUCUUCUUCAAACUUAUGGCCUGUUUUUUUUUUCUUUAAUCAAUUGUGAUUGCAUGCUUAUAUGUAUUUGUAUAUACAUAUAUUCCUAAAUAUAACCUGUGGAGUCCAUAUGAUGUUACUUGUAUGUGUGUUCUUAGGGCUGACCUCUUGGCACUGGGCAAGCAGUUGGUGUGCCUUUCGGGGAGGAGGGCCACCCCUGCUACUCCAGCAUUGCUCAGUCACAUGCAGUUCUUUGUUGCAGGGUUACAGUCUUGUGGGCUUUUCCCUGGGCAGUGUGACGUGUGCAUUGGUGUUCUCCCUGUUCGGCUCACAUCCGGGCGGUCAAGUUUUUGAGACUUUGUGGGUGUAGCUCCUGAUGUUAUGAGGAGACACAAUCUAGAACAAACUCCGUGAUCCUAUGGCUCUCACAGUAUUUCUGCCUCUGUUGCAGCACGGUCUGGUCCUUCGCAUUUAGUUAAUUGCUCGUCCCCUGAGAUCUCUGCUGUUCUUCAAGCAGACGCUAACGUAUACCAAGUGAUGCUGUGUUACCUUGCCUCCAAAUUAUUCCCAAGUGUGGCCAAUAAAAAAAAGUGCCCACAGGUGAGGUAGGCAGAGCUAAGGUUUGAAAGCUUGGAAGACAGAGGACCACAGGAGGGAGAAGAGAAGAAGGAAGACAGAAGAGAAGAAGAAGAAAGAGAGUCGCCAGGGGUUAGCAUAAAGAAGAACCAGGAGGAGCCUAGCUCUGAGGAUCGCUGGUGGAGAGAAGCCCAGAUGGGAAUCAUUAAAGCAAAUGGCAUGAGAUGCAGAGCUGGGAGACAACAAGGUUCCUGCCUUGCUUGAGUUCCUGUCCUGACUCCCUUUGAUGAUGAACUGUGAUGUCGAGAAGAAGUCCCAGAAGUAACUGGGCCAGAGCACAUAACCAUCAGAACGGUAAGAGCUGUGGCAAGCCGUACCUGUCUCUCUCAAUAAAUGCUCUGGAAACAUUAGCCGAUGAUGUCGGUGACAAACUCAAGCUCUGACGACACUGGAUAGGACUCCUCUUUUCACAUGGUAAUAGAUUUUAGAAUUAUCCCUCUUGACAGCUCUCUGGAUGGGGGAAAUGAGC